This 65-nucleotide transfer RNA is filed under the name Symphysodon aequifasciata (blue discus). RNAcentral describes it as "tRNA-Cys". Lineage: Eukaryota; Metazoa; Chordata; Actinopteri; Cichliformes; Cichlidae. RNAcentral also lists the same sequence under 2 other names. The record is from RNAcentral.
AGCUCCGAGGUGUUUACAUAUCAGAUUGCAAAUCUGAAGUUGCAGGUUACCGUCUGCCGGGGCUU